CACGUAAGGCGCAAGCGUUGUCCGGAAUUAUUGGGCGUAAAGAGCUCGUAGGUGGUUUGUUACGUCCGCUGUGAAAUCCUAGGGCUUAACCCUGGGCUUGCAGUGGAUACGGGCAGACUAGAGGUAGGUAGGGGAGAAUGGAAUUCCUGGUGUAGCGGUGAAAUGCGCAGAUAUCAGGAGGAACACCGGUGGCGAAGGCGGGUCUCUGGGCAGUAACUGACGCUGAGGAGCGAAAGCGUGGGGAGCGAACAGG
RNAcentral lists this ribosomal RNA (253 nucleotides) under uncultured bacterium. RNAcentral describes it as "partial 16S ribosomal RNA". It matches the Rfam family "Bacterial small subunit ribosomal RNA", at positions 524 to 776 of the family's 1533-position model. The record is from RNAcentral.